Molecule: ribosomal RNA, 303 nt
Filed under: uncultured bacterium
Lineage: Bacteria
Description: partial 16S ribosomal RNA
Rfam family: Bacterial small subunit ribosomal RNA
Source: RNAcentral
AGCAGUAGCCGCGGUAAUACGUAGGGUGCGAGCGUUAAUCGGAAUUACUGGGCGUAAAGCGUGCGCAGGCGGUUCGUUAAGACAGAUGUGAAAUCCCCGGGCUUAACCUGGGAACUGCAUUUGUGACUGACGGGCUAGAGUAUGGCAGAGGGGGGUAGAAUUCCACGUGUAGCAGUGAAAUGCGUAGAGAUGUGGAGGAAUACCGAUGGCGAAGGCAGCCCCCUGGGCCAAUACUGACGCUCAUGCACGAAAGCGUGGGGAGCAAACAGGAUUAGAGACCCCAGUAGUCCCUGUCUCUUAUAC